Long non-coding RNA from Hyaena hyaena (striped hyena), 603 nucleotides. RefSeq lists it as uncharacterized. The transcript is spliced from 3 exons. The record is from RefSeq and is a predicted model, not a curated record. Lineage: Eukaryota; Metazoa; Chordata; Mammalia; Carnivora; Hyaenidae.
UGAGGCACGGCUAUAACAGGGGUACCUAAGACUGAGGCCCAAACACAAUGAAUGACAAAUGACAACAACUGCAUUUUGCUGCAAGUCUAAAAAAAUAAAAAAAUAAAUAAAAAAUUAAAAAAAUUACCCCCCCCCCGUCUGUGUCUAACCAUCAGUUUUACCAACAUCAAUACAAGCAAAACCACAAUUAAGGAGAAUUUUGUUCAGCUCUGGCUGCUAAACUUUAAAAAGCAUACAGAAAAACCAGAUUUCAUUCACAGGCAAGAAACUUAACCAGGCUGUGUUAGCCGGGGCUGCGGAGCUAGAGAAAGCUCUCGGCAGGGAGGAGGCUGCAGGGUCAUCAGGCAGAAGAAGGAAGAGGCCUCCCGUGUCAGAGACCCUGAGGGCCAGCACCAGAGCCAGGACCACAGGAUACAAGAUCUUCCAGAGCUAAUCACCGCUGUGCGGGGACCAUGCAGACUGGGCCGGAUUUACCAGAGCAAAGAAAGAGCAAGAAACUGAAGCUCAGAAAGAAAGAGAGACAGACAAGAGACAGACAGACAGGCAGAGCCGCAGUGCACACGGUGCGUGUGUCGGAGAGGCCGCCGGGAGACUCACCGCAGC